This 432-nucleotide long non-coding RNA is filed under the name Manihot esculenta (cassava). RNAcentral describes it as "long non-coding RNA (MESC_LNC008131)". Lineage: Eukaryota; Viridiplantae; Streptophyta; Magnoliopsida; Malpighiales; Euphorbiaceae. The record is from RNAcentral.
AGUGAGUUUAGUCCCUCAUUUGAGUCCACCUGUGUAGGUACGGACCAGAGAAAUCAGGGAACUCAGCAGUGAGUCCAGAGUCAGAACCUGCAGAGUCCGUUCAGAGAGAACUACAGGUGAGUGGAAUUUAACUUAAUGUUUUAAUCUGAGAACUGAAUAUUUUAUCAUGCUUCAUGCAUCAUGAAUAUGCUAUAGGGUGAGUGCAUUAGUGUACACAAAGAUGAUGCAUUGCAUUUAUCCUUGUACUUGGCAUUGCUCCUUGUACAUUGCUUAUGUGAGACGGCACGGACUUCGUGAGGAUUCAUUAGCCCUCAGAGGAAAGACCUGGAACAGCCCUACGGGGACCAGGCACAUAUAUAAAGACCUGGAACAGCCCUACGGGGACCAGGCACAUGGUACUUAGGUACCCCAGAUGAGAUAGAGGGAGUUUUG